This 496-nucleotide ribosomal RNA is filed under the name uncultured bacterium. RNAcentral's name for it is "partial 16S ribosomal RNA". It matches the Rfam family "Bacterial small subunit ribosomal RNA", at positions 29 to 507 of the family's 1533-position model. The record is from RNAcentral.
AUGAACGCUGGCGGCGUGCCUAAUACCUGCAAGUCGAGCGAACAGAUGAGGUGCUUGCUCCUCUGACGUUAGCGGCGGACGGGUGAGUAACACGUGGAUAACCUACCUAUAAGACUGGGAUAACUUCGGGAAACCGGAGCUAAUACCGGAUAAUAUAUUGAACCGCAUGGUUCAAUAGUGAAAGACGGUUUUGCUGUCACUUAUAGAUGGAUCCGCGCCGCAUUAGCUAGUUGGUAAGGUAACGGCUUACCAAGGCAACGAUGCGUAGCCGACCUGAGAGGGUGAUCGGCCACACUGGAACUGAGACGCGGUCCAGACUCCUACGGGAGGCAGCAGUAGGGAAUCUUCCGCAAUGGGCGAAAGCCUGACGGAGCAACGCCGCGUGAGUGAUGAAGGUCUUCGGAUCGUAAAACUCUGUUAUUAGGGAAGAACAAAUGUGUAAGUAACUAUGCACGUCUUGACGGUACCUAAUCAGAAAGCCACGGCUAACUACGUG